UUAGCGCGUGAGCAGUUUAUGCUUAACGCUAAUUGGCCUGUGGACAGGCCAGUCUAUGGUGAGGGGGUGGACGCUGAGGCUGCUGCUGAUGAUGAUGUUGAUGAUGAGGCUACCGGUUCUGAGGCCGGUAGCGAAGAGGAGUCCUGAGCCCUUUGUGGGUUAAGUUUUUGUGUGUUUUCAGUUUUUAUGUUAUUUCUAUUUGUAUCUUCGGAUUUUGUAUUUUGACCAUGGUGUUGUACUAUUGGGGUGUUUUGUCCCCCACGAACAAAUUUAUAUUUUCAGUUAAUGUUAUUUAUUUUUGUUUUUAAUUUUGUGUGUUUAAUAAAUUUUUGGUUGAUUGAGUGGCAAACCCUUCUAGAUUGGUUGCUCCUCAAGAAGUACCCAAUGAAGGUGCAUCCGAGCUUGGAUGGCAAUGAUAAGAAUAAACAAGUGAAUGAAGCUAAGGUACAUGGUUACCGUCGGCUAGAAUUUUAGAAUGCAUUAGGAACUUUACUCUUUUUGGUAAAUUGAAUAUUGUCUUUUUGCAACAUAAUU
RNAcentral lists this long non-coding RNA (534 nucleotides) under Lathyrus oleraceus (garden pea). RNAcentral's name for it is "Pisum sativum (pea) long non-coding RNA (PSAT_LNC036090)". Lineage: Eukaryota; Viridiplantae; Streptophyta; Magnoliopsida; Fabales; Fabaceae. The record is from RNAcentral.